CAAAUACUUGGUGCGAUUAUGAGAUAGAGACUUGUCGUCGGCAGUUCCUUUGAGCAGCACACUAAGCACGCCGGUUGCCUCCCUCCAAUUGUGUUGAAGGAGGAGUUUCUCCAACAGCCACCGCAGCUUUUUCCUGUGGAUGGACUGCAAACUUUCACCCAGGCCGUACUACAAGCUUCCAAUGACUUGCUCCGGGCGAUAGCUCUGCUUAUUGUUGGCCAAUAUGAUUUCAUUUGCUUUCCUCGCCUUCUUCACCGUGUCCUCGUCAUUUUCGUGAGGAUUUCUUGGCCCUCUUCGUCGGGGUUUCACUUUCUUGGCUUCCAUUGCUGUUUCUCCUAUCAUAUUCAAGGUAAACAAUUUGCGAAAUGAAAAUCUUGAAG
Molecule: long non-coding RNA, 380 nt
Filed under: Olea europaea (common olive)
Lineage: Eukaryota; Viridiplantae; Streptophyta; Magnoliopsida; Lamiales; Oleaceae
Description: long non-coding RNA (OEUR_LNC002418)
Source: RNAcentral